Molecule: ribosomal RNA, 447 nt
Filed under: uncultured bacterium
Lineage: Bacteria
Description: partial 16S ribosomal RNA
Rfam family: Bacterial small subunit ribosomal RNA
Source: RNAcentral
ACCAGACUCCUACGGGAGGCAGCAGUGGGGAAUAUUGCACAAUGGGGGAAACCCUGAUGCAGCGACGCCGCGUGAGUGAAGAAGUAUUUCGGUAUGUAAAGCUCUAUCAGCAGGGAAGAAAAUGACGGUACCUGACUAAGAAGCCCCGGCUGACUACGUGCCAGCAGCCGCGGUAAUACGUAGGGGGCAAGCGUUAUCCGGAUUUACUGGGUGUAAAGGGAGCGUAGACGGCCAGACAAGUCAGAAGUGAAAGCCCGGGGCUCAACCCUGGGACUGCUUUUAAAACCGCCGGGCUGGAGUGCAGGAGAGGUAAGCGGAAUUCCUAGUGUAGCGGUGAAAUGCGUAGAUAUUAGGAGGAACACCAGUGGCGAAGGCGGCUUACUGGACUGUAACUGACGUUGAGGCUCGAAAGCGUGGGGAGCAAACAGGAUUAGAUACCCGAGUAUA